This 274-nucleotide ribosomal RNA is filed under the name uncultured bacterium. Its description in RNAcentral is "partial 16S ribosomal RNA". It matches the Rfam family "Bacterial small subunit ribosomal RNA", at positions 523 to 796 of the family's 1533-position model. The record is from RNAcentral.
AGACGUAGGGGGCUAGCGUUGCCCGGAUUCACUGGGCGUAAAGCGCGCGUAGGCGGUUCGGCAAGUCGCCCGUGAAAGCCCCUGGCUCAACUGGGGGAGGUCGGGCGAUACUGCCGGGCUAGAGGGCGGCAGAGGGAGGUGGAACGGCCGGAGUAGCGGUGAAAUGCGUAGAUACCGGCCGGAAUCCCGAUGGCGAAGGCAACCUCCUGGGCCGUUCCUGACGCUGAGGCGCGAAAGCUGGGGGAGCGAACCGGAUUAGAAACCCCUGUAGUCC